AAAUUGAAGAGUUUGAUCAUGGCUCAGAUUGAACGCUGGCGGCAGGCCUAACACAUGCAAGUCGAACGGUAACAGGAAGAAGCUUGCUUCUUUGCUGACGAGUGGCGGACGGGUGAGUAAUGUCUGGGAAGCUGCCUGAUGGAGGGGGAUAACUACUGGAAACGGUAGCUAAUACCGCAUAACGUCGCAAGACCAAAGAGGGGGACCUUCGGGCCUCUUGCCAUCGGAUGUGCCCAGAUGGGAUUAGCUUGUUGGUGGGGUAACGGCUCACCAAGGCGACGAUCCCUAGCUGGUCUGAGAGGAUGACCAGCCACACUGGAACUGAGACACGGUCCAGACUCCUACGGGAGGCAGCAGUGGGGAAUAUUGCACAAUGGGCGCAAGCCUGAUGCAGCCAUGCCGCGUGUAUGAAGAAGGCCUUCGGGUUGUAAAGUACUUUCAGCGGGGAGGAAGGGAGUAAAGUUAAUACCUUU
Molecule: ribosomal RNA, 473 nt
Filed under: Escherichia coli
Lineage: Bacteria; Pseudomonadati; Pseudomonadota; Gammaproteobacteria; Enterobacterales; Enterobacteriaceae
Description: bacterial SSU rRNA
Rfam family: Bacterial small subunit ribosomal RNA
Source: RNAcentral